CAUUGGAUUAAAUCAUUUUCCUGCGAGGUUCUAUCUCCGCUGAAGCCCUUUUGCAUUUGAUUGAUGUUGCUUGCACUGUUUUGAUUUUGGUGGCCGCGGGGGGCGGGUGGGUGAGUAACACGUAGGUAACCUGCCCGCGGCGGGGGACAACUUUUGGAAACUGAUGCUAUUACCGCAUAACACCGUUGUUCGCAUGAACACCGCUAAAAAGAUGGCUUCUCGCUAUCCCUUCUGGAUGGACCGGCGGUGCAUUACCUUGUUGGGGGGGUAACGGCCUACCAAGGCAAUGAUGCAUACCCAAUUUGAGAGACUGAUCGCCCACAGUGGGACUGACACCCGGCCCAUACUCCUACGGGAGGCGCAGUAGGGAAUCUUCCACAGUGGGCGCAAGCCUGAUGGACCAACACCGCGUGUGUGAAGAAGGUUUCCCGCUCGUAAAUCUCUGUUGUUAAAAAAAAAACACGUGUGAAAAUAACUGUUCAUACGUUGACGGUAAUUAACCAGAAAGUACGGCUAACUACGUGCCAGCCGCCCGCGGUUAUUCGUAGGUGGCAGCUUUACCGGAUUUUUGGGCGUAGAGAGUGUGCGGCGGCACUAGCUGGAGUGAAGCCCUCCGCUUACCGGAAAAGUUGCUCGAACUGAAUACUUUGAUGCAAGAGGUAUGAAACUCCUUGUUACGGGGAUGCUAUUAUGAAGACACCGUGCAGGGCCUACUGUUGCAUGACCUUAACUCAAUGUGGUCAGCAACAGAAUAAACCCGUGUAUCCUGGCCCUAACCCAGAUGUCUAAGAGAGUUAACGCCCUACGCGGACUUGACGCGGAUAAGACUUCCCUUGGUAACCCCAGAAGGU
This 851-nucleotide ribosomal RNA is filed under the name Limosilactobacillus fermentum. RNAcentral's name for it is "bacterial SSU rRNA". It matches the Rfam family "Bacterial small subunit ribosomal RNA". Lineage: Bacteria; Bacillati; Bacillota; Bacilli; Lactobacillales; Lactobacillaceae. The record is from RNAcentral.